Molecule: ribosomal RNA, 620 nt
Filed under: uncultured Lachnospiraceae bacterium
Lineage: Bacteria; Bacillati; Bacillota; Clostridia; Lachnospirales; Lachnospiraceae
Description: bacterial SSU rRNA
Rfam family: Bacterial small subunit ribosomal RNA
Source: RNAcentral
UGUUUCUAGUGGCGGACGGGUGAGUAACGCGUGGGUAACCUGCCUUAUACUGGGGGAUAACAGCCAGAAAUGACUGCUAAUACCGCAUAAGCGCACAGAACCGCAUGGUUCCGUGUGAAAAACUCCGGUGGUAUAAGAUGGACCCGCGUUGGAUUAGCUAGUUGGCAGGGCAGCGGCCUACCAAGGCGACGAUCCAUAGCCGGCCUGAGAGGGUGAACGGCCACAUUGGGACUGAGACACGGCCCAGACUCCUACGGGAGGCAGCAGUGGGGAAUAUUGCACAAUGGGGGAAACCCUGAUGCAGCGACGCCGCGUGAAGGAAGAAGUAUCUCGGUAUGUAAACUUCUAUCAGCAGGGAAGAUAAUGACGGUACCUGACUAAGAAGCCCCGGCUAACUACGUGCCAGCAGCCGCGGUAAUACGUAGGGGGCAAGCGUUAUCCGGAUUUACUGGGUGUAAAGGGAGCGUAGACGGCGCAGCAAGUCUGAUGUGAAAGGCAGGGGCUUAACCCCUGGACUGCAUUGGAAACUGCUGUGCUUGAGUGCCGGAGGGGUAAGCGGAAUUCCUAGUGUAGCGGUGAAAUGCGUAGAUAUUAGGAGGAACACCAGUGGCGAAGGCGGC